Molecule: non-coding RNA, 23 nt
Filed under: Mus musculus (house mouse)
Lineage: Eukaryota; Metazoa; Chordata; Mammalia; Rodentia; Muridae
Source: RNAcentral
GAGAAGAGCUCCCUAGACACCCA